AGUGAACGCUGGCGGUAGGCCUAACACAUGCAAGUCGAACGGCAGCACAGGCGAGCUUGCUCUCUGGGUGGCGAGUGGCGGACGGGUGAGGAAUACAUCGGAAUCUACUCUGUCGUGGGGGACAACGUAGGGAAACUUACGCUAAUACCGCAUACGACCUACUGGUGAAAGCAGGGGACCGUCGGGCCUUGCGCGAUUGAAUGAGGCGAUGUCGGAUUAGCUAGUUGGCGGGGUAAAGGCCCACCAAGGCGACGAUCCGUAGCUGGACUGAGAGGAUGAUCAGCCACACUGGAACUGAGACACGGUCCAGACUCCUACGGGAGGCAGCAGUGGGGAAUAUUGGACAAUGGGCGCAAGCCUGAUCCAGCCAUACCGCGUGGGUGAAGAAGGCCUUCGGGUUGUAAAGCCCUUUUGUUGGGAAAGAAAUCCAGCUGGCUAAUACCCGGUUGGGAUGACGGUACCCAAAGAAUAAGCACCGGCUAACUUCGUGCCAGCCGCCGCCGUAA
RNAcentral lists this ribosomal RNA (506 nucleotides) under uncultured bacterium. RNAcentral describes it as "partial 16S ribosomal RNA". It matches the Rfam family "Bacterial small subunit ribosomal RNA", at positions 29 to 523 of the family's 1533-position model. The record is from RNAcentral.